GACGAACGCUGGCGGCGUGCUUAACACAUGCAAGUCGAACGGAAAGGCCCUGCUUUUGUGGGGUGCUCGAGUGGCGAACGGGUGAGUAACACGUGAGUAACCUGCCCUUGACUUUGGGAUAACUUCAGGAAACUGGGGCUAAUACCGGAUAGGAGCUCCUGCUGCAUGGUGGGGGUUGGAAAGUUUCGGCGGUUGGGGAUGGACUCGCGGCUUAUCAGCUUGUUGGUGGGGUAGUGGCUUACCAAGGCUUUGACGGGUAGCCGGCCUGAGAGGGUGACCGGCCACAUGGGGAAUGAAAUAAGGCCCAGACUCCUACGGGAGGCAGCAGGGGGGAAUAGUGCACAAUGGGCGGAAGCCUGAUGCAGCAACGCCGCGUGCGGGAUGACGGCCUUCGGGUUGUAAACCGCUUUCGCCUGUGACGAAGCGUGAGUGACGGUAAUGGGUAAAGAAGCACCGGCUAACUACGUG
RNAcentral lists this ribosomal RNA (468 nucleotides) under uncultured bacterium. RNAcentral's name for it is "partial 16S ribosomal RNA". It matches the Rfam family "Bacterial small subunit ribosomal RNA", at positions 28 to 507 of the family's 1533-position model. The record is from RNAcentral.